Anas platyrhynchos (mallard) is the source of this 4019-nucleotide non-coding RNA. The record is from RefSeq and is a predicted model, not a curated record. NCBI's taxonomy places the organism in Eukaryota, Metazoa, Chordata, Aves, Anseriformes, Anatidae.
UGUACUCCUGCAAUAUAAACUUACAGUAAGACUAGGAGUCAGAUACAAGGUCAGCAGGAAACCAAGUGCACCCAUGACACUGGGAUAAUAUUAAGAAUUGAAUUGAAAUGUGAUGACAUUCAAAGAGGAGUUUCGGAAAAGGGGACUGGAACUUUUACUGGAAACCUGAAUCAGAACUGUGAGGGGUUUUCUCAUUUUUGUCUUACUCCAUUGCCUAGAGACACUAAAGAUUUUAAACUGUCCUAUACAAUAUAGCACAUGGUUAAUUCAAAUUCAUCUGUAUAUCAGGUAACACAGUAAUGUAGUCCAAUAAAGAACCAGAAAUCACUUCUUUAACUGAUUACCCAACUGUGCUGGGUGUGAACUGGGGCUGUGGUCUGAUAAAAAGGAGGCAAGAGCAUCAUACUGUUAGUUGUUGCAUCUCAACUGUAAGAAAGUGUCUUACAACAGGAAAGCUUCAGAUUCAUAAAUUUCUUCUGCUUAGGUUCUGAGCUAGUGUGAGUGAUGCAGAACAACUUAAGUCAAAUCAGAUGAGUUUUAAGCCACUAAUUGUGACAAGUUCUUUGUCAUGUGUGGCUCGUCUCAAGAAAGAGAUUAGUUAAUGUUGAAAAACAAUAUAGAAUAAUAUUUUAAAUUUCCAUUUAUUUCCAUUUCAUUUUUCUAAUUAGAUUCUUGUCUCUAAUUAGAUUCUAAUUGUAUUAUUCCCAGAGCCUGGAACAGAACUUUUAUUUCUCUCAAAAUUACAUGUUUUCACCAAUGAAGGCACAAAAUCACUGGGCAAAGUGUCUCAUUUUUAUCUCACAAAAUCACUGAAUGGCUGAGGUUGGAAGGGACCUCUAGAAGUGAUCUGGUCUAAACCCCUGCUCAAGAUGGUUGCUUAGGACCACAUCCAGAAGGCUUUUGAAGGUCUCCAAGGAAAGAGACCCCCCAACCUCUGUGGAGAACCUAUGCCAGUGCUUUAUCACCCUCACAGUAGAGAAGUGCUUCCUGAUGCUCAGAGAGAACCCCUUGUGUUCCUGUGUUCCCGUUUGUGCCCAUUACCUCUUUUUCUGGUGAUGUGCCCAUCACCUCUUUUUGUUUUUCAUCACUUCUUUUUUUUUAUUUCUUAAAUCUGUUCUCACAGAAAUGCAAAUGACAUCGCUUAUUGUCUUGGCUCUGGCCAGCGGUCGGCCCCUUAUCUAACAUGGGGCAGCUUCAGGAUUCUUCUCACAGAAGCCACCCCUAUGCCCCCCACUACAAAAGCCUUGCCACUACACAUACCUGGGACAGUUGAUUUAAACCUGUAGAGCGACAGUGACAGCAAAAACCCAGUUAAGGAGCUGAAAAUUGAAGCAGUAAAUAAAAGGAACCAAGCAUACAUCAAGAGCUGUUAGCUGAUCCACAGGUGACAAUGUGAGCUCUUCAUUGACUUGAAAGAUCUCAUCAGGCUGACAGUCUAGCAAUUUCACUGCUGUCCUUUACAUCAUGAGACUCCUCUCACCAUCUUAAUGCCUCACAAGGACAGACACUGCUGCCAGCAAAAACUUUAUUGGAAGAGGCUCUGCAGAGAUGAUGCAUUAACUCUAAAGUGCCAAAAAAUUAAUUGUGGGGCCAAGCUGAAUGUGUCACUGCCUUUAAUGUCACUUUAUCAGCAAAUUGGAAAGGAUUAUUAUUCAGAUUAAUGUGAAGACUAUUCAAUACAACAGAUGCACAAUUGCAGAGGAGUGCCAACUUCUUUCCUUGAUUGUUCUUUGCUUUUGAAGUUUUGAAGUUUGAAAGAGUGAGACUUCAGCUCACUGAAGGCUCAUUUAAAUCAGCAAAGUUUUUCCACUGAAAAGUGUAAGGGAGUACAAAGCUUCAUGAAUCUGGGUUAAAGUUGUGAUAAUCAUUCUAGUUGUGAUAAUCAUUCUAAUAGGUUCAAGUACUAGGAAAAAUAGGGAGAGGUUAAAAUUUUUCUCCUUUUGACAAGUGAGAAGUGUAACUAACUUACCCACACACUCUCACAGAUCAAACAUAGAUCUGAAACUUGCAGCUUUUUGUGUUUUCAGAGACUGACUUCUUGAGAUUAUUCUCUUAUAAAAUGAGUACUAAUAGAGUAUGGAAGAGGAAGAAGCAGAAAAAAUGAAAAAUUAUUUAUAUUUUCAUUUUUAAAGUCUUUAAUAUAAAAAGAUUCCAAAAAUACAGUUCAGAGAAAGAUCAAGUUUAUUUUAUGCAAGUUAGUGCAUGUUGUAAGACAGAUAAAAGAUCCUGCAAGCCAAACCUGGGGAGUAAAAGCAGAAAGGGACUGACCUGAAUUACUUGAACCUUGUUGAUGCAGUGCACAGCUACACUAGCCAUGUAGCUGUGCACUUUAAUAUCUUUAAUUUUAAUAAUCUUUAAUUUAAUUUAAUUUUAAUUAAUUUAAUUUAAUUUUAAUAAUCUUUUAAUAAUCUUUAAUAUCUUUAAUAUCUAAUAUCUUUAUUUUAAUAUCUUUAAUAAAGAUAUUAAAGAAGAUGGGCCCCAGCCCCCAGUGGAAAAACACCACUGGUGACCAGUAGUCAACUGGGUGUCACUCCAUUCACCACCACUCACUGGGCUUGGCCAUCUAGCCAGUGUUUAACCCAGCAAAGAGUGUAUCUGUCCAACCGAUGGGCUGCCAGCUUCUCCAGGAAAAUACUAUGGGAGACCAUGUCAAAGGCCUUGCUGAAGUCUAGGCAAACUACAUCAACACCUCAUCCACCACAUGGGUCACCUGGUCGUAGAAGAAGACAAGGUUGGUCAGGCAGGACUUACCUUUCAUGAACCCACGUUGACUGGGCCUGAUCCCCUGGUUGUCUAGCAUAUACUGUGUGAUUACAUUCAAGAUCACUGGUUUCAUCACCUUUCCUGGCACCAAGGUCCGACUGACAGGUCUGUGGUUCCCUGGGUGUUCCUUACGACCUUUCUUAUGUAUGGGCAUCACAUUAGCAAGUCUCCAGUCAUCUCAGUCAUCAUGGUCCACCUCUCAGGUUGACCUUGACUGCUGAUAGAUGAUGGAAAGUGGCCCAACAAUCACACCCACUAAAUCCCUCAGCAAGCUCGGGUGGAUCCCUUCUGGCCCCAUGGACUUGUGACGGUCCAGGUGGAGCAGCAGGUCUCUGUUCCCACCUGAACUGUGGGGGGUUUCUUCUAUUCCUCAUCCCAGACUUCCAGGUUGGGAGGCUGAGUAUGCCAAGGAUAAGUGGUCUGGCUAGUAAAGACAUCUGUCUGUAAAGACAGAUGCAAAGAAGGCAUUAAGAACCUCAGCCUUUUCCUUAUCUUCAGUUCCCCCCUGCAUCCAGUAAAUAAUGAAGAUUCUCCUUGUUCCUCCUCUUGCUGUAAUUGUAUUUGUAAAAACAUUUUUUGUUAUCCUUAACCAUAGUGGCCAGGUUGAGCUCGUGCUGGGCUUUGACCUUCCUGUUUUUUUCUCUGUAUAUGUUGGCAACUUCCCUGUACUCUCCCCAUGUUGCCUGCCCCUUCUUCCACUGGACAUAAACUCUCUUUUUCUCACCGACACUCAGCAAAAGUUCCCUGUUCAGUCAUGCUGUUCUUCUUCCCUGCCAGUCCACCUUAUGAGUCCUUCUCUGUUUGUGAACAGCAGGUCUAGCAGGGCACCCCCUCUGGCCGGCUGACUAACCAGCUGAGUUGGGAAGCUGUCUUCAUGCACUUUAGAAAUCCCCUAGCCUGCUUCCUUUGAGCUGUAUAGUAUUUCUAGCAUUUUUCCAGGAAUUUAAAGUCCUCUAUGAACAAGUGCUGUUGAUUGAGUGACUUCUGCCAGCUGCUUAUAGAAGACCACAUCCACCUCUUCAUCCUGGUUUGGCUGUCUACAACAGACGCCCACCAGGAUGUCUGCCUUGUGGGCCAAUUCCCUGAUCCUCAGGUAUCUGUUCAGGGUUUUGUUGUGAGUUUCUGUGAACAGAAAAUAGGUAGUGUUUUAUUGUUUCUCUUCAGUAAUGUGAGAAGUUUAGAGAGAUUUGUUUUAGACCAUUUUAGUACUGCUUCGCUCUCUCCUCUCCCUACUUCUUUUUUUUUUUUUUUUUUUU